AACGAACGCUGGCGGCAUGCCUAACACAUGCAAGUCGAACGAAGGCUUCGGCCUUAGUGGCGCACGGGUGAGUAACGCGUGGGAAACUGCCUAUUGGUGGGGAAUAACGACGGGAAACUGUCGCUAAUACCGCAUAAGCCCUUCGGGGGAAAGAUUUGUCGCCGAUAGAUGUGCCAGCGUCCGAUUAGCUAGUUGGUGAGGUAAUGGCUCACCAAGGCGACGAUCGGUAGCUGUCUGAGAGGAUGAUCAGCCACACUGGGACUGAGACACGGCCCAGACUCCUACGGGAGGCAGCAGUGGGGAAUAUUGGACAAUGGGCGAAAGCCUGAUCCAGCAAUGCCGCGUGAGUGAUGAAGGCCUUAGGGUUGUAAAGCUCUUUCGGGUGGGACGAUGAUGACGGUACCACCAGAAGAAGCCCCGGCUAACUUCGUGCCAGCCGCCGCGGUAA
Molecule: ribosomal RNA, 448 nt
Filed under: uncultured bacterium
Lineage: Bacteria
Description: partial 16S ribosomal RNA
Rfam family: Bacterial small subunit ribosomal RNA
Source: RNAcentral